AGAGUUUGAUCCUGGCUCAGAUUGAACGCUGGCGGCAUGCCUUACACAUGCAAGUCGAACGGUAACGCGGGGGCAACCCUGGCGACGAGUGGCGAACGGGUGAGUAAUACAUCGGAACAUAUCCAGUAGCGGGGGAUAACCUAUCGAAAGAUGGACUAAUACCGCAUACGAUCUACGGAUGAAAGCAGGGGACCGCAAGGCCUUGCACUAUUGGAGUGGCCGAUGUCGGAUUAGCUAGUUGGUGGGGUAAAAGCUUACCAAGGCGACGAUCCGUAGCUGGUCUGAGAGGACGAUCAGCCACACUGGAACUGAGACACGGUCCAGACUCCUACGGGAGGCAGCAGUGGGGAAUUUUGGACAAUGGGCGCAAGCCUGAUCCAGCCAUGCCGCGUGAGUGAAGAAGGCCUUCGGGUUGUAAAGCUCUUUCGGUGAAGACGAAACGGUUCAUGCUAAUAACGUGAACUAAUGACGGUACUCGCAGAAGAAGCACCGGCUAACUACGAGCCAGCAGCCGCGGUAAUACGUAGGGUGCAGGCGUUAAUCGGAAUUACUGGGCGUAAAGCGUGCGCAGGCGGUUUGCUAAGACAGGUGUGAAAUCCCCGGGCUUAACCUGGGAAUUGCGCUUGUAACUGGCAAGCUAGAGUGUGGCAGAGGGGGGUGGAAUUCCACGUGUAGCAGUGAAAUGCGUAGAUAUGUGGAGGAACACCGAUGGCGAAGGCAGCCCCCUGGGUUAACACUGACGCUCAUGCACGAAAGCGUGGGGAGCAAACAGGAUUAGAUACCCUGGUAGUCCACGCCCUAAACUAUGUCAACUAGUUGUCGGGGAAGAAAUUCCUUGGUAACGAAGCUAACGCGUGAAGUUGACCGCCUGGGGAGUACGGCCGCAAGGUUAAAACUCAAAGGAAUUGACGGGGACCCGCACAAGCGGUGGAUUAUGUAGAUUAAUUCGAUGCAACGCGAAAAACCUUACCUACCCUUGACAUGCUAGGAAGCCCGCAGAGAUGUGGGUGUGCCCGAAAGGGAACCUAGACACAGGUGCUGCAUGGCUGUCGUCAGCUCGUGUCGUGAGAUGUUGGGUUAAGUCCCGCAACGAGCGCAACCCUUGCCAUUAGUUGCUACAUUCAGUUGGGCACUCUAAUGGGACCGCCGGUGACAAACCGGAGGAAGGUGGGGAUGACGUCAAGUCCUCAUGGCCCUUAUGGGUAGGGCUUCACACGUAAUACAAUGGUCGGUACAGAGGGCUGCCACCCGCAAGGGGGAGCUAAUCCCAGAAAGCCGAUCGUAGUCCGGAUUGUAGUCUGCAACUCGACUGCAUGAAGCCGGAAUCGCUAGUAAUCGCGGAUCAGCAUGUCGCGGUGAAUACGUUCCCGGGUCUUGUACACACCGCCUGUCACACCAUGGGAGUGGGUUCCACCAGAAGUAGUUAGCCUAACCGCAAGGAGGGCGAUUACCACGGUGAGAUUCAUGACUGGGGUGAAGUCGUAACAAGGUA
RNAcentral lists this ribosomal RNA (1492 nucleotides) under metagenome. RNAcentral's name for it is "bacterial SSU rRNA". It matches the Rfam family "Bacterial small subunit ribosomal RNA". The record is from RNAcentral.